GACGAACGCUGGCGGCGUGCUUAACACACGCAAGUCGAGCGGUAAGGCCUUUCGGGGUACACGAGCGGCGAACGGGUGAGUAACACGUGGGUGAUCUGCCCUGCACUUCGGGAUAAGCCUGGGAAACUGGGUCUAAUACCGGAUAUGACCUCCUAUCGCAUGGUGGGUGGGGGAAAGAUUUAUCGGUGCAGGAUGGGCCCGCGGCCUAUCAGCUUGUUGGUGGGGUAAUGGCCUACCAAGGCGACGACGGGUAGCCGACCUGAGAGGGUGACCGGCCACACUGGGACUGAGACACGGCCCAGACUCCUACGGGAGGCAGCAGUGGGGAAUAUUGCACAAUGGGCGAAAGCCUGAUGCAGCGACGCCGCGUGAGGGAUGACGGCCUUCGGGUUGUAAACCUCUUUCAGCAGGGACGAAGCGCAAGUGACGGUACCUGCAGAAGAAGCACCGGCUAACUACGUG
This 462-nucleotide ribosomal RNA is filed under the name uncultured bacterium. Its description in RNAcentral is "partial 16S ribosomal RNA". It matches the Rfam family "Bacterial small subunit ribosomal RNA", at positions 28 to 507 of the family's 1533-position model. The record is from RNAcentral.